CAUGGUUUUCACAGAAGGAGAUAUGCCAAAUAUAUCUGGACUUUGAUAUUACUUAAUGUUUACUCUGUGUGCCUGCUAUUAUUAGACACUGCGUAUACCUUUACAAAAGUGUUAUUCAUUUUCUGCAGUUUGAACAACCCGGAUCACCAGCCUCUAUUACUCAAGGCACUGGCAGCCAGAUGCACACCGGGCCGCACAGGGACAAAUGUGUGGCCAAAACCUUGGGGACUGAACAGAGAAGAGCUGGACUGAUCUAAUCAACUCAGCCAUCGCCGAUGCCCAGCUGUAACAUGGAUACCCAACACCUUAAGGAAGGAUAACAGAAGGUACUUGAGUCGACACAAGAGGAAGCCAAUGUCUGCAGAACAAGAAAAACAGCUCAUCGGUCCGUGAAGAAUGAUCACGGUCACCUUCGCAAUACAUCACAGGCGACAGGCAGAUUACUUAGAUAUGGAUGUCAGCCGAGAGGACUGACACUUUUCUGAGUAAAGAGCCCGUACAUCCAGCACUAGAGAACAUAUCCUUGCCCUGUGUGCAGAGUAAGCAAGCAAUUAGCUAAGAGUUGAGUUUAUUACUCCAGCUGGUCUGUUCACCCUUCAAGUGUUGUUUGCAACAGGCAGAAAGUUUACUACAGAUAAGCGUCAUUCAGGAUUGACUGCAAACACCUUCUUUUGGAAUACAUUUCACCGGAGGGCUGUACAUUAACACUUUGGUUUUGGAAAUGUUGUUGGCGGUUCAUUUCUCCUGUUAAAACACCCAGC
Anguilla anguilla (European eel) is the source of this 761-nucleotide long non-coding RNA. RefSeq lists it as uncharacterized. The transcript is spliced from 3 exons. The record is from RefSeq and is a predicted model, not a curated record. NCBI's taxonomy places the organism in Eukaryota, Metazoa, Chordata, Actinopteri, Anguilliformes, Anguillidae.